GACGAACGCUGGCGGCGUGCUUAACACAUGCAAGUCGAACGAUGAAGCGGGUGCUUGCACUCGUGGAUUAGUGGCGAACGGGCGAGUAACACGUGAGUAACCUGUCCUUUUCUUUGGGAUAACGGCUGGAAACGGCUGCUAAUACUGGAUAUUCAGGCUGCAUCGCAUGGUGUGGUUUGGAAAGGUUUUUUCUGGGAUUGGGUGGGCUCGCGGCCUAUCAGCUUGUUGGUGGGGUGAUGGCUUACCAAGGCUUUGACGGGUAGCCGGCCUGAGAGGGUGGUCGGUCGCACUGGGACUGAGAUACGGCCCAGACUCAUACGGGAGGCAGCAGUGGGGAAUAUUGCACAAUGGACGAAAGUUUGAUGCAGCGACGCCGCGUGGAGGGUGUAGGCCUUCGGGUUGUGAACUCCUUUUUCUCGCGAAAAAGGCACAGUUUUGGCUGUGUUGAUGGUAGUGGGGGAAGAAGCGCCGGCUAACUACGUG
Molecule: ribosomal RNA, 483 nt
Filed under: uncultured bacterium
Lineage: Bacteria
Description: partial 16S ribosomal RNA
Rfam family: Bacterial small subunit ribosomal RNA
Source: RNAcentral